This is a transfer RNA of Ipomoea nil (Japanese morning glory), 80 nucleotides long. It matches the Rfam family "tRNA". From Rfam's summary of the family: Transfer RNA (tRNA) molecules are approximately 80 nucleotides in length. The record is from Rfam. Lineage: Eukaryota; Viridiplantae; Streptophyta; Magnoliopsida; Solanales; Convolvulaceae.
GACGGUUUGGCCGAGUGGUCUAAGGCGCCAGAUUUAGCCUCUGGUCCGAAAGGGCGUGGAUUCAAAUCCCACAGUUGUCA